This 433-nucleotide ribosomal RNA is filed under the name uncultured bacterium. RNAcentral describes it as "partial 16S ribosomal RNA". It matches the Rfam family "Bacterial small subunit ribosomal RNA", at positions 29 to 507 of the family's 1533-position model. The record is from RNAcentral.
AACGAACGCUGGCGGCAGGCCUAACACAUGCAAGUCGAGCGAGACCUUCGGGUCUAGCGGCGGACGGGUGAGUAACGCGUGGGAACGUGCCCUUUUCUACGGAAUAGCCUCGGGAAACUGAGCGUAAUACCGUAUACGCCCUUUGGGGGAAAGAUUUAUCGGAGAAGGAUCGGCCCGCGUUGGAUUAGGUAGUUGGUGGGGUAAUGGCCUACCAAGCCUACGAUCCAUAGCUGGUUUGAGAGGAUGAUCAGCCACACUGGGACUGAGACACGGCCAAGACUCCUACGGGAGGCAGCAGUGGGGAAUCUUAGACAAUGGGGGCAACCCUGAUCUAGCCAUGCCGCGUGAGUGAUGAAGGCCUUAGGGUUGUAAAGCUCUUUCAGCUGGGAAGAUAAUGACGGUACCAGCAGAAGAAGCCCCGGCUAACUCCGUG